UGACCAGCCGGGCCCCCCCCCGGGGCUGGCGCAGGAGGAGCUGGGCCAGGCCGAGGUUCCCCCCCCUGACUGCGAUGUGCAGCGGGGUCAGGCUGCUCUUGGAGUCCUGGCAGGCGGGGGCUGC
Non-coding RNA from Coturnix japonica (Japanese quail), 124 nucleotides. The record is from RefSeq and is a predicted model, not a curated record. Lineage: Eukaryota; Metazoa; Chordata; Aves; Galliformes; Phasianidae.